AGUGAACGCUGGCGGUAGGCCUAACACAUGCAAGUCGAACGGCAGCACAGUAAGAGCUUGCUCUUACGGGUGGCGAGUGGCGGACGGGUGAGGAAUACAUCGGAAUCUACUUUUUCGUGGGGGAUAACGUAGGGAAACUUACGCUAAUACCGCAUACGUCCUACGGGUGAAAGCAGGGGAUCUUCGGACCUUGCGCGAUUGAAUGAGCCGGUGUCGGAUUAGCUAGUUGGCGGGGUAAAGGCCCACCAAGGCAACGAUCCGUAGCUGGUCUGAGAGGAUGAUCGGCCACACUGGAACUGAGACACGGUCCAGACUCCUACGGGAGGCAGCAGUAGGGAAUAUUGGACAAUGGGCGCAAGCCUGACCCAGCCAUACCGCGUGGGUGAAGAAGGCCUUCGGGUUGUAAAGCCCUGUUGUUGGGAAAGAAAAACAGCAGGUUAAUACCCCGCUGUUCUGACGGUACCCAAAGAAUAAGCACCGGCUAACUUCGUG
RNAcentral lists this ribosomal RNA (492 nucleotides) under uncultured bacterium. RNAcentral describes it as "partial 16S ribosomal RNA". It matches the Rfam family "Bacterial small subunit ribosomal RNA", at positions 29 to 507 of the family's 1533-position model. The record is from RNAcentral.